UUCCGUUGAUCCUGCGGGAGGUUGCUGCUAUCAGGAUACGAUUAAGCCAUGUAAGUCUUCUUACUUCGGUAAGAGGCGUCAUGCUCAGUAACACGUCAUUAAUCUGCCUUUAGAUUCGGAAUAACCUUGGUAAACUGAGGAUAAUACCGGAUAGGGAAACUACACUGGAAUGGUUUUUUUCCUUAAAGCUUCGGCGUCUAAAGAUGAGUUGGCGGUGGAUUAGGUUGUUGGUGGGGUAAUGGCCCACCAAGCCGAAGAUCCAUAGGGGCCUUGAGAGAGGUAGCCCCGAGAAGGACACUGAAAUACUGGUCCUAGCCCCACGGGGUGCAGCAGGCGCGAAACCUUUACAAUGCACGCAAGUGUGAUAAGGGAAUCCUGAGUUCUCAUGUUUUCAUGGGCUUUUGCCAAGAGUAAAUAUCUUGGCGAAUAAGUGGUGGGUAAGACGGGUGCCAGCAGCCGCGGUAACACCUGCGCCACGAGUGGGAACCAUUAUUAUUGGGUCUAAAGCGUCCGUAGCCGGUUUAAUAAGUUUUCUGUGAAAUUGGCCAGCUUAACUGGUCAGCGUGCAGAAAAUACUAUUAGACUUGGAACCAGGAAGGGUCAAGAGUAUUCUGGGGGGAGCGGUAAAAUGCUAUAAUCCCCGGAGGACUACCAAUGGCGAAGGCACUUGACCGGAAUGGAUUUGACGGUGAGGGACGAAAGCUAGGGGAGCGAUCCGGAUUAGAUACCCGAGUAGUCCUAGCUGUAAACGCUGCGAGCCAGGUGUUGCAUAUCCUUCAUGGAUAUGCAGUAUCGAAACGAAGGUGUUAAGCUCGCCACCUGGGAAGUAUGGUCGCAAGACUGAAACUUAAAGGAAUUGGCGGGGGAGCACUACAAGGGGUGCGGCGUGCGGUUUAAUCUAAUUCAACGCAGAAAAUCUCACCAGAUGCGACGGCAGAAUGAAGGUCAAGCUGAAGACUUUACCAGACAAGCCGAGAGGUGGUGCAUGGCCGCCGUCAGCUCGUGCUGUAAAGUGUCCUGUUAAGUCAGGCAACGAGCAAGACCUGUACCCAUAAUUGCUAGCGACAUCAUCGAUGGAUCGAGCACAUUAUGGGGACUGCCCUGGAAACAGGGAGGAAGGUGCAGGCAACGGUAGGUCUGUAUGCCCCGAAUCUUCUGGGCUACACGCGCGCAACAAUGGUAGGAACAAUGGGAUACAACUCCGAAAGGAGAAGUUAAACCUCGAAAUCCUAUCUUAGUCUAGAUUGAGGGUUGGAACUCACCCUCAUGACAAUGGAAUCCCUAGUAAUCAGACGUCAUUAUCGUCUGGUGAAUAUGUCCCUGCUCCUUGCACACACCGCCCGUCAAACCAACCGAGCAGGGUUAGGUGAGUGUCAUCUUUUUGGGUGUCACGAAUCUAAACUCAGUGAGGUGGGUUAAGUCGUCACAAGGUA
This 1433-nucleotide ribosomal RNA is filed under the name metagenome. Its description in RNAcentral is "bacterial SSU rRNA". It matches the Rfam family "Archaeal small subunit ribosomal RNA". The record is from RNAcentral.